RNAcentral lists this ribosomal RNA (254 nucleotides) under uncultured bacterium. RNAcentral's name for it is "partial 16S ribosomal RNA". It matches the Rfam family "Bacterial small subunit ribosomal RNA", at positions 524 to 776 of the family's 1533-position model. The record is from RNAcentral.
UACGUAGGAUCCAAGCGUUAUCCGGAAUUACUGGGCGUAAAGAGUUGCGUAGGUGGCAUAGUAAGCGGACAGUGAAAGCGUGUGGCUCAACCACAUACACAUUGUCUGAACUACUAAGCUUGAGGACGAGAGAGGUACCUGGAAUUCCUAGUGUAGGAGUGAAAUCCGUAGAUAUUAGGAGGAACACCGAUGGCGUAAGCAGGGUACUGGCUUGUUCCUGACACUAAGGCACGAAAGCGCGGGGAGUGAAUGGG